CAUUGAUAAUGAAAUAGAAAGAAAUAAGAAGAAGGGGAAGGGGAAGAUAAGGAGAGAAUACUGCAGGCUCAUUAUUCAUUCAUCUUCAUAUUUUUUUUGCGAUUAUUAUUUAUUGUUGUUCCAA
This 124-nucleotide non-coding RNA is filed under the name Heterosigma akashiwo. Lineage: Eukaryota; Raphidophyceae; Chattonellales; Chattonellaceae. The record is from RNAcentral.